Long non-coding RNA from Clupea harengus (Atlantic herring), 736 nucleotides. NCBI's taxonomy places the organism in Eukaryota, Metazoa, Chordata, Actinopteri, Clupeiformes, Clupeidae. The record is from Ensembl.
CUCCCAAACCCCCACGAUGAAAUGGCUUAUAUAGACAGACCAACAAGCCAACUCUUCACUUCACUGAGCAAGUGUGUCUUGCAGUUGUCUUUGGAGAGAUAUAACAGAGAACAUGGCACGCAAACUCUUUCUAAUCCUCGCGCUCUUUCUCCUGGUGGGGAGUCUGACUGCGCAGUUGUCAGAUGAAGAUGGCAUCAUCCUGUCUGAACUGUACAACAAGGCAUCGAGGCAGCUCCACUCUUUCAGAGAGAGAAUCUGAAUGCCACGAAGCUCUCCUGUUUGUAAACAAAUAAAGAUGUUCUGCAGCAUUUACCUCUCUGUGCUCAUGGUUUAGAAAGUUUGCGAAUCCGUCAGACAUUUAUGGAAAUCUACAUGAAUUUUACCUAAAAUGUGACGAUCUAUGUCAUAAAAAAGAGAAGCUGAAGAAACAUUAAUCACCAAAGUAUCCAACAUUUAAUGGCUCCUUAAAAUAUUGUAAUCCCCUCCUUUAAAAGCUACAGUUUGCAACAAGUUGCCACUUUUUAGGCAUGUUUUUAUAGGCAACUAGUACUGGCAUCAUUUUCAAAUGACUUUUGAUGGUAUAUGGUCAUGUGAAAGACAGAUAAACACUAGGUAUGGGGCACCAAGUGUAACAGACCUUGUUUACAGAACCCAUUCUGUGCUGCAAUAGGCAUUCAUUACAUACGAAGCCAUAUAAUACCAUAAUGCAUUUUCUCCACAAAAAACAAACCUGUUA